GACAGAGUUUGAUCCUGGCUCAGGACGAACGCUGGCGGCGUGCUUAACACAUGCAAGUCGAGCGGAAAGGCCCUUCGGGGUACUCGAGCGGCGAACGGGUGAGUAACACGUGAGCAACCUGCCCUUAGCUCUGGGAUAGCUCCGGGAAACCGGAAUUAAUACCGGAUAUGACCUAGGCCGACAUCGGCCGUGGUGGAAAGUUUUUCGGCUAGGGAUGGACUCGCGGCCUAUCAGCUAGUUGGUGGGGUAAUGGCCUACCAAGGCGACGACGGGUAGCCGGCCUGAGAGGGCGACCGGCCACACUGGGACUGAGACACGGCCCAGACUCCUACGGGAGGCAGCAGUGGGGAAUCUUGCGCAAUGGGCGAAAGCCUGACGCAGCGACGCCGCGUGGGGGAUGAAGGCCUUCGGGUUGUAAACCCCUUUCAGCAGGGACGAAGCGAAAGUGACGGUACCUGGAGAAGAAGCACCGGCCAACUACGUGCCAGCAGCCGCGGUAAUAACCUAAAUAGCUA
Molecule: ribosomal RNA, 515 nt
Filed under: uncultured bacterium
Lineage: Bacteria
Description: bacterial SSU rRNA
Rfam family: Bacterial small subunit ribosomal RNA
Source: RNAcentral